Molecule: long non-coding RNA, 359 nt
Organism: Myiozetetes cayanensis
Lineage: Eukaryota; Metazoa; Chordata; Aves; Passeriformes; Tyrannidae
Exons: 3
Source: RefSeq, a predicted model, not a curated record
UGCAGCAGGCGGAGCUGCCGGUGGUGGAUCACGAGCACUGCACCCAGCUCGACUGGUGGGGGCCCGUGGCCAUCCGCAACACCAUGAUCUGUGCCGGCGGCGCCGAGAAGGCCGGGUGCAACGGCGACUCGGGGGGCCCCCUGAACUGCCAGGCCGAGGAUGGCACGUGGGAGGUCCACGGCAUCGCCAGCUUCGUGUCCGCCCUGGGCUGCAACGCCGAGAAGAAGCCGACUGUGUUCACCAGGGUGUCCGCCUUCGAGGACUGGAUCGCACAGACCAUAAGGGACAACUGAGCGUGGCAGCGUCAUCGUCACCGACCGCCUGGCCUGGCACCAGGCAAAUAAACCACAGGCCCUGCA